This is a non-coding RNA of Acanthosepion pharaonis, 113 nucleotides long. The record is from the annotation of a GenBank genome assembly. NCBI's taxonomy places the organism in Eukaryota, Metazoa, Mollusca, Cephalopoda, Sepiida, Sepiidae.
UACAGCCACACCACGUUCAAUAACCUUAUCCUGUAUGAUCACCAAAGUUAAGCAACGUAGUGUCUGGUCAGUAACCAGAUGGGUGACCCCUUGGGAAAACCAGAUGUUGUAAG